This 74-nucleotide transfer RNA is filed under the name Aeoliella straminimaris. It matches the Rfam family "tRNA". From Rfam's summary of the family: Transfer RNA (tRNA) molecules are approximately 80 nucleotides in length. Their secondary structure includes four short double-helical elements and three loops (D, anti-codon, and T loops). Further hydrogen bonds mediate the characteristic L-shaped molecular structure. tRNAs have two regions of fundamental functional importance: the anti-codon, which is responsible for specific mRNA codon recognition, and the 3' end, to which the tRNAs corresponding amino acid is attached (by aminoacyl-tRNA synthetases). tRNAs cope with the degeneracy of the genetic code in two manners: having more than one tRNA (with a specific anti-codon) for a particular amino acid; and 'wobble' base-pairing, i.e. permitting non-standard base-pairing at the 3rd anti-codon position. Lineage: Bacteria; Pseudomonadati; Planctomycetota; Planctomycetia; Pirellulales; Lacipirellulaceae. The record is from Rfam by way of RNAcentral.
GGCACGGUACGCAAACUGGCAAAGCGGCGAAGCUCAAACCUUCGUGCCUGUGGGUUCGACUCCCACUCGUGCUA